This is a long non-coding RNA of Acomys russatus (golden spiny mouse), 353 nucleotides long. RefSeq lists it as uncharacterized. The record is from RefSeq and is a predicted model, not a curated record. Lineage: Eukaryota; Metazoa; Chordata; Mammalia; Rodentia; Muridae. The transcript has 5 exons.
GAGGAUGAGCUGAGCUCCUCACUCACACGUCUACCCCGGCGCCCCCAGACGAGAAGAAACCUACACUGAAGCCCCAGGGUCCCAAGAAACCACCCGCCGGAGGAGACUUUGACCUGACUGAUGCGCUGGGCGAUGGUAGCGAUGAACCGAAGCCUCAGCCAAAGCCCAGGCCACGCCCAGGGUCAGGCGAGUUCUCCAUCACCGACCUGGAAGAUGUGGUGGGGGGAGGAGGAGGAGGGGGCGGGGCCAAGAGGGACCAUGGCGGCGGAAGUGGGGACCCAGAAGCAGGUGAGCAUGCCACGCCCUCUGCAUGACGCCUCUUGACCCUGCCCCAUCCCGCCAGGAGCACUGAA